UACGUAGGGGGCAAGCGUUAUCCGGAUUUACUGGGUGUAAAGGGAGCGUAGACGGCCAGACAGGUCUGAAGUGAAAAUCCAGCGCUUAACGUUGGAAGUGCUUUGGAAACUGCCGGGCUAGAGUGCAGGAGGGGCAGGCGGAAUUCCUAGUGUAGCGGUGAAAUGCGUAGAUAUUAGGAGGAACACCAGUGGCGAAGGCGGCCUGCUGGACUGCAACUGACGUUGAGGCUCGAAGGCGUGGGGAGCAAACAGG
This 253-nucleotide ribosomal RNA is filed under the name uncultured bacterium. RNAcentral's name for it is "partial 16S ribosomal RNA". It matches the Rfam family "Bacterial small subunit ribosomal RNA", at positions 524 to 776 of the family's 1533-position model. The record is from RNAcentral.